Molecule: ribosomal RNA, 254 nt
Filed under: uncultured bacterium
Lineage: Bacteria
Description: partial 16S ribosomal RNA
Rfam family: Bacterial small subunit ribosomal RNA
Source: RNAcentral
UACGUAGGGUGCGAGCGUUGUCCGGAAUUAUUGGGCGUAAAGAGCUCGUAGGCGGUGUGUCACGUCGGCCGUGAAAACCUGCAGCUUAACUGUGGGCGUGCGGUCGAUACGGGCAUCACUGGAGUUCGGCAGGGGAGACUGGAAUUCCUGGUGUAGCGGUGAAAUGCGCAGAUAUCAGGAGGAACACCAGUGGCGAAGGCGGGUCUCUGGGCCGAUACUGACGCUGAGGAGCGAAAGCGUGGGGAGCAAACAGG